RNAcentral lists this ribosomal RNA (806 nucleotides) under uncultured euryarchaeote. Its description in RNAcentral is "bacterial SSU rRNA". It matches the Rfam family "Archaeal small subunit ribosomal RNA", at positions 48 to 859 of the family's 1478-position model. Lineage: Archaea; Methanobacteriati; Methanobacteriota. The record is from RNAcentral.
GCCAUGCGAGUUGAGAGGGUUCGGCCCUCGGCAGACUGCUCAGUAACACGUGGAUAACCUAACCUUAGGAGGAGGAUAAUCUCGGGAAACUGAGAAUAAUACUCCAUAGAUCUAGGAUACUGGAAUGUACCUAGGUUGAAAGCUCCGGCGCCUAAGGAUGGGUCUGCGGACUAUCAGGUUGUAGUCAGGGUAAUGACCUGACUAGCCUACGACGGAUAUGGGUUGUGAGAGCAAUAGCCCAGAGACGAUAUCUGAGACACGAUAUCGGGCCCUACGGGGCGCAGCAGGCGCGAAAUCUUCACAAUGUGCGAAAGCACGAUGAGGGAAUCCCAAGUGCUGGCACGUAAGUGUCAGCUGUUUCUUAGUCUAAAAAACUUAGAGAGUAAGGGCUGGGUAAGACGGGUGCCAGCCGCCGCGGUAAUACCUGCAGCUCGAGUGGUGGCCGCUAUUAUUGGGCCUAAAACGUCCGUAGCCUGUUUAGUAAAUGCUUGGGUAAAUUGUGUAGCUUAACUAUACGAAUACCGAGUAGACUGCUAGGCUUGGGACCGGGAGAGGCUAGAGGUACUCCUGGGGUAGAGGUGAAAUUCUGUAAUCCUAGGGGGACCACCAGUGGCGAAGGCGUCUAGCUAGAACGGGUCUGACGGUGAGGGACGAAGCCCUGGGGCGCAAACCGGAUUAGAUACCCGGGUAGUCCAGGGUGUAAACGCUGCUUGCUUGAUGUUAGUCGGGCUCCGAGCCCGAUUAGUGUCGGAGAGAAGUUGUUAAGCAAGCUGCCUGGGAAGUACGAUCGCAAGAUUGAAACUUAA